CGUAGGAGGCAAGCGUUAUCCGGAUUCACUGGGCGUAAAGCGCGUGCAGGCGGUGCGGUAAGUUAGGCGUGAAAUCUCCCGGCUCAACUGGGAGAGGUCGUCUAAUACUGCCGUACUUGAGAGCAGAAGAGGAAGAUGGAAUUCCCGGUGUAGUGGUGAAAUGCGUAGAUAUCGGGAGGAACACCAGUGGCGAAGGCGAUCUUCUGGUCUGCUUCUGACGCUCAGACGCGACAGCUAGGGUAGUAAACGGGAUUAGAGACCCCGGUAAUCCUAGCCGUAAACGAUGUGAACUUGGCGUUGGUGGGUUAAACUCCAUCAGUGCCGCAGCAAACGCGAUAAGUUCACCGCCUGGGGACUACGGCCGCAAGGUUA
RNAcentral lists this ribosomal RNA (372 nucleotides) under uncultured organism. RNAcentral's name for it is "bacterial SSU rRNA". It matches the Rfam family "Bacterial small subunit ribosomal RNA", at positions 526 to 896 of the family's 1533-position model. The record is from RNAcentral.